Long non-coding RNA from Chenopodium quinoa (quinoa), 137 nucleotides. RefSeq lists it as uncharacterized. NCBI's taxonomy places the organism in Eukaryota, Viridiplantae, Streptophyta, Magnoliopsida, Caryophyllales, Amaranthaceae. The record is from RefSeq and is a predicted model, not a curated record. The transcript is spliced from 2 exons.
AUUGUAUUGAACCUCAUAGGUGUCACCCCUAUACAAGGAAGAAAAGUGAAGAAAAGGCUGCUAGACAGCUGCAUAGAUAAUGCUACAGUCCCAGCCUUUAACAACAGUAGCAACUGAGAGUCAACCCUCCACCAGAA